Molecule: long non-coding RNA, 665 nt
Organism: Apteryx rowi (Okarito brown kiwi)
Lineage: Eukaryota; Metazoa; Chordata; Aves; Apterygiformes; Apterygidae
Source: Ensembl
UGCCGAUGCCAUAAUGCAGGUCCUGAAGACCUCCUGCGAGGUCUUUUAUCCAAGGAAAAGCUGCCCAGGAAAGCAAAGUCCAGAGAUGACAGAGCAGGCAGUUGUUUUCCCCCAGCAGCAGCUCUGGCUUUGGAGGGACCUGGCACCUCGCCCUCAAGCGCAGCCAAGACCUCAGCCUUGCUUGGAGCUGCUUGUGGCCCCAAGAUUGCAAAGAGAAGCGUUUAUGGAGGGCUUUAAAAGGAGAGUUGGGUACUGCGUUUUGGGUCCCAUCUGGAAUAUAAACCCAGGAAUGUCCUCAGCAGCGAGUGGUUCUGAGCCGGGCACGCUUUUCCUAAAAUGGUUUGUGACAGAGAAGCUGCGAAUCCCGCUUGUUCUGCCCCGCCGUGCCAGGAGCGUGAGCUUCCUCCGGCUGCUCGUGCCUGAUGCUUUCAAAGACCAAAGGUGUCGCCGUGGUUCAUCCCUGGUAGCAUCCGUGCGAGAUUCACCCCUCGGGCGGGAGCUCUGCCGGGGCGGGGAGGAGGAUGUCGUCUCCGAAAGGAGCUUUUUACCGGGGCCGCGGUGGGACGAGGCGGCCGCGCGCUUCUCCCGGCGGCUCAUGGCUCGCACGCGGCAGCCCCGCGAACGAGGCGCCUUGCGGAGCGGCUCCGGUUUUGCCUGUGUGUGAG